GACGAACGCUGGCGGCGUGCUUAACACAUGCAAGUCGAACGGACCUUCGGGUUAGUGGCGAACGGGUGAGUAACACGUGGGUGAUCUGCCCUGCACUUUGGGAUAAGCCUGGGAAACUGGGUCUAAUACCGGAUAGGACCACGCAUUUUAUGGUGUGUGGUGGAAAGCUUUUGCGGUGUGGGAUGGGCCCGCGGCCUAUCAGCUUGUUGGUGGGGUAAUGGCCUACCAAGGCGACGACGGGUAGCCGGCCUGAGAGGGUGACCGGCCACACUGGGACUGAGAUACGGCCCAGACUCCUACGGGAGGCAGCAGUGGGGAAUAUUGCACAAUGGGCGCAAGCCUGAUGCAGCGACGCCGCGUGAGGGAUGACGGCCUUCGGGUUGUAAACCUCUUUCGCCAGGGACGAAGCGCAAGUGACGGUACCUGGAGAAGAAGGACCGGCCAACUACGUGCCAGCCGCCGCCGUAA
RNAcentral lists this ribosomal RNA (468 nucleotides) under uncultured bacterium. Its description in RNAcentral is "partial 16S ribosomal RNA". It matches the Rfam family "Bacterial small subunit ribosomal RNA", at positions 28 to 523 of the family's 1533-position model. The record is from RNAcentral.